AUAGGUUUAAUGCAUAAGGAAGAGAUCCGAAGCUCGCCGGAAAAUAGAGUUCCCGACGAGCGUACCGGCGAUAUAAUCCAACCUCGAGGUAUUUCGAUUCCUUCUCCUUUUCUUCCUUCUGAGCUUUGAUCCUCCUUUUUCUACGCUUCCUCUUCUCCUUCGUCUUUCUUUACGAUUUGGGUUUGCUUUGGUUUUGACAGGGGUUUAGCUCGAGCUUGUUGAGCUUCAGUGUGAAAAUCUCAACAAGUUCAAAACUGAGCUUUUUUAACUAGGGUUUUGGGGUGAUUUUUUUCAGAGUAACGGCGCAGAAAUUCGGAUCCCUACUUCAUCACUGGAGGUCCUUAUUUAUAGCGGUUUGGAUGUACGAGGUUUAGAAUUCCUCUCUCAUGAGCUUGGCAAAUUAGUGGGAGAAUCAUUCCGUUAGGUAGCAGAAUUUUUCAGAGUUAGUGGUGCUUCAAAUCGGUGUGGUCCUUCAAAUGGCAGGAUGAGGUUUUGUCUGUAGUGAAUCCAUGGUAACCACCUAUUUUUUACUUUUCACUGCAGUAAAUGUCUAUUUUAACCACGUUUUGAUUUUUGUAACAGGAUAUGAAUUUUGCAGUUUUGAUUCUUUACAGGUCAUGUACCAGUCAAUUUCAUGAAGUGGCUUGUGCAUAAUUAACAAGUU
This 664-nucleotide long non-coding RNA is filed under the name Lathyrus oleraceus (garden pea). Its description in RNAcentral is "Pisum sativum (pea) long non-coding RNA (PSAT_LNC003552)". Lineage: Eukaryota; Viridiplantae; Streptophyta; Magnoliopsida; Fabales; Fabaceae. The record is from RNAcentral.